AAUUGGUUUUUAAUUAGGUCUUUCCACUUUUCUGUGGAAAGACCUAUUGUUUUUCUUCUGAUUAUUUUUUUUUUUUCUUCCGCCAAAUUUUGUUCUUGCAAUAAACAUUUGUUUCGCAAUAUGUCGCUUAGAUAUUUGGUAUAUGAUAUCGAACAGUUUAUGCGCUUUUGAAAUUUACCCUGCGUAACCGAAUACUUUUCUUUGUAGGAGUUAUCUCCCCAAACACUGUUUUCUUUGUGCUCACAACUCCUUCGCAACCGUAAAAGAUUACGACAAAUUUAUUUUAUAAAAUUGCUCGUUAUAUCCUUUGCAUGAUUUGUCCAAUUUCGACCGA
This 334-nucleotide long non-coding RNA is filed under the name Mytilus galloprovincialis (Mediterranean mussel). The record is from RNAcentral. Lineage: Eukaryota; Metazoa; Mollusca; Bivalvia; Mytilida; Mytilidae.